RNAcentral lists this long non-coding RNA (3010 nucleotides) under Equus caballus (horse). Its description in RNAcentral is "lncRNA (ENSECAG00000053541.1)". The record is from RNAcentral. Lineage: Eukaryota; Metazoa; Chordata; Mammalia; Perissodactyla; Equidae.
CACUAGCUCCAGUCCUGGAGGGCACACGGCCCAGCCCCGGACAGCCUUUUGCCUUGCAGGAACGCAGACCCAGUGAUGCCAGGUCUAAAUUUUCAAGAAAAGCUAGAAAUCCAGAUUAUGUAGAGAUUCAAUAUUUAAAAGUUGGGAACUUUUUUUUUUAAGUCAAUUGCUGGAGCACCAGUUUGCUGUCUCUGAAUUAAUGUGAUUUUAAGCAUUUCUCGUAGUGACCUGUUGAAGCAUUGUGUCUGAGUGCAGAGACGGAACUCUUGAAGAACGGAAGAGAUUUCAGAGAAAAGUGACAAAUUAAAUGAUACGUCUUGUGGCAAAGUGACCAGCACACAGUAAUCAUUCAGUUCGUGUUUGUUUAUGAAAAAUCACUUAAAAACGAAAAGACGAGGAGGAGGAAGGAGCCAAGAGCUGGCCGCCACCGUCUUCAGUCACAUUGUGAGUGUUCAGGCCAGCUGCCUGCUUUUGUGCUGGGAAUGAGUUCUUAUUAAACCAAGGCAGCGUUUAGGCCUAAGAUCGACUUGGUCUUCCAGCUGAAGAAAACUGGGAGCUCCAAGUCUCUGACCUGGUUGUUGGUUGCCCAAAGCUAGGUCUGACACCUAGUAGGCACUCAGUAAACAUCUGUGGGAUGACUGAGAACAUAGCCACCUUCACGGGUUUACUUGCCCAACGAUGGUGCGAUGGGCCCUGCACACCACGCACUGAAAUGAUAAGUCAGCGUUUUCAAAUGUUUACUGGUUAUGUGUAGCCAUGUGAAAGAAUCACAGGGCAGAUCAUAAGGAACGUUUUCUCUGUGCGUGCAGGGUCACCUGGAAAGCAGAAUCCUAUCAAUGGAAUUGUAUUGUUCCCUUGCUUUCAACAUUGUGGCCAUCUACUCAUCCUGUCUCCAGGAAUUGCUUAGCUGUAUUUCUCGCAGUAGGUAUGUUAUUGUUGGGCUGGCCUGGGGGAACCUGGGAGUGACAAAGCCAAAGACUUGAUCUGUCGUGAGGCAAGCUUUAGGAACAGCGUGAAGCUGGCUUUCUGGUGAGAUCUCAGAGAGGACAACUUAAGCUCCCUCCACCCUUCACCCCCUUUCAGAUCCAACGGACCUUUCCGUUCUCAGGGGCUGUUUGUCCUCCCAAACACCCUGCAGCUCUGGGUUUGGGAGGGGAUACUCUUAAGACAUCAUGGCCUUUGGAUCUUGAUGGAGACCAUCCCACUGGGGUCACUAGUCUACAGGAUGGCAGGAAAGAGCAUGAGCUUUGGGGCCCGGCAGACCCAGCUUGGGAUUGGAGCUCUGCCACCUAAUUGAGAAGGGCAUUCCCUGCCCUGAACCUGAGCUGCUUCGUCUAGGAAGUGGAGACAGUAGUUUAAGAUCACUGUAAGGAUUAAAUGACAUAAUCUAAAGAGCCCAGCACAGUGCCUGGUAUAUAGUAGGACUCCAGUGCAGCUCUUCUUGCUAGCUUCACCUGUGGCAUUUGAACAGACAGUACGGAAUGUCCCGAGCAGAGAAAGGGGUGAGGGCUAGGCUUCGGGGUGCUGUGAGAUGAGACAGAGUUCAAUGUGCUCAGGCAGCCUGGGGCCUGUCUGGGCCUCGGGAGGGGAAGUCCCAGAGCUGACACUUGGAAGAAUGCUGACAGCCCCCAGUGAGGACUCCAGUUCGUAACCAGGGCCUGGGCUGUUCAGUGGGUGAAACAGGGAGAGGGCCCUAGUGACGGCGUUUACACCAAGUUCUGUUUGUUGAUUUUGUUAAGAAGAAUUCAGCUUUGAAGGCAGUACACCGAUCAUAUCUCCAGAAGUGGUUCUGGAGAGAACGAGACCUACCAGCAUUCUCAGCCGACUGUAGGUCUCCGCAGGGGACAGGGGGACAGGGAAUUCCGUGUCCUCAGUGUGUGUAGCUGCUGGGGCUGCGGGUGGUGGGUGGGUGAUGCAGGGAGAAAGGUGGUGAACACCAGCUACAGCGACAAGAAGAAGAAAAUAACCGCCGUUUAGUGAGUGCCAGGCCUGCUGGGAGGGCUGUCCACAUGCUCCCACCCUCACAAUAAGCCCUGUGGUAUAUAUUACCGUUUCACAGCUGAAGAAACUGAGGCUCAGGGCUGCCUUGCUAGCCAGCAGCUGGGCUUAGCUUUGAUUCCAGUCUGCCUUGGCUACCACGGCUGACCUCUUGCCACGCCACCGUUGCCUCUCUCUCUCCAUGCUCCAUGGGCACCGCGAUGCCAGCAGUCUCCCUGAGGAGCCAGGCCUCGGGCUGUGCAGGCCCCUUGCAUUAAGAGACCCUCUGCAUAUCUUCUUUCCCUCCCACUGAUGGGGCUGUCAUGGAAAGCAGACCCCGUCCCUGCUCUCAGGAAGCUUCCUUUCCAGAAGUCGACAAUGUGACUGCAUGAACUCACAGGAUAAAUUAGAUUGUGGUAAGUGCUGUGACAAGAUGACACUGGGCAGUGGGUUGCAGCGGCCUGGGGGACAUUUGAGCCAAGACCUCAGUGGUCAGCAGGAGCCAGCCACGCAGUGUUCCAGGCUGAGGGACGGAGAUGCCAAGGCCUUUAGGGAAGGCCCGUGGACCCAAGUGGCUGGAGGGGCGCUUGGCCUCCACGAUGCGGGCAGGAGGCGCGGGGAGAGGCCGUGGAAGGCGAUGCGUUUGGGUUUGGACGUCGCAGGUGCCCGAGAGACAUUCAAGUGGAGCUGACUUGGGCUGUCUAGAAGAGAGGCGACGGGUGGCUCCGAAGGAAGAGGCCUGACACCGAGUCCGGAAGAACGUCGCAUCGAGGCAGAGGGCGCAGGACGAGCCAGCGACAAAGGCGGGGGCGGAGCAGCGGAGGGGUAGGCGCGAGGCAACGGCAGCCUUGGCCGCGCGGGCCACGCUCAGAACUUGGCAAGCCCUCUUUCCCAAACACUCGCCCCCAGCCGCCCCGGCCUCCCGGCGAACAACGCCUGUGCCUAAUCGCGCCGGGGACACCUAAUCCCGCCGCGCGCCGCUCCAGCCCGCGCCGCGCUCCCGAGGGCAGGGGCUCCAAGGGCGAGGGCUCCU